This 222-nucleotide unclassified non-coding RNA is filed under the name plant metagenome. Its description in RNAcentral is "partial contains small subunit ribosomal RNA and internal transcribed spacer 1". The record is from RNAcentral.
AGUCGUCAACAAGGUCUCCGUUAUGGUGAACCAUGCGGGACGGGAUCAUUUAAUUGUCAGAAUCUUGCCCUAACGGGUAGAUCUCCCACCCUUUGUUAACCAAACAUUGUUGCUUUGUCUGGCCCGAGCCCUCGGGUCCGCCGGCCUUCGGGCUGGUCAGCGCCGGACAGAGGAAACUAAAACCUUUAUCACUGUCGUCAGAGUACUAUAUAAUAGUUAAAA